Molecule: unclassified non-coding RNA, 1273 nt
Filed under: Hevea brasiliensis (rubber tree)
Lineage: Eukaryota; Viridiplantae; Streptophyta; Magnoliopsida; Malpighiales; Euphorbiaceae
Source: RNAcentral
AAAUCUUAGUUAAAUUUUGAAAAAUUGGAAAACUAGUUUUCUAAUUCUCCAUUUGAAAAAAAGGGCACUUUUGAACAUGAAACUCUGUUUUCAAAUUUUCUUUAGAAAACUAUCCCAAUUUUCCACAAGUGAAUAAGCCCAUUGUUUCUAUCCACUAACAUGUUAAUGAUAAUUAUACCAGUAUUUUUCUUUAAUCUAAAUUGAUUAGAGUGCUGAUUUGCUCAAUGGUCUACACUUUGAUAUCUGCCAUAAAUGCAUCGGUUAUUAAUAUGUGCUUGAAAAAAAUUCCAAAGAUAUAUUUGUAGACUAUUUGUAUAUUUCACUUAAGAGCAGUGGCAAAGCAUUCAUUUGAUUUAAUGUUGCUUGGAUAUCUUCUACUUUGCAGAGAUUUCUUGUAUGUCUUUCUGUUCGUUGGGAAGAUAGAAUUUGAGUCAAAAAUUUUUCCCCACACUUUAAUUGCAUGUAUUAUAAGCUAUUUGAAGAAAAGUAAUGCCAAACUUAUAAGCAAGUUCAACCUGUUGGACAUUAUUCAGGAGAGAAUCUAUUCCCAUUUUAUUUUAUUUUUUUUAACGUUUGGUUAAUUAUGUUACCUUGCAUAAUAGGGAGGAUAAUAGAAAAGCUUUUGCUAACAUCACCUGCCUUUGAUCCCUGUAUAUGAUGCUCUCCAGAUAUUUUUUGGCUAUAACUUCUCUUAAUUUAGAUUUCGGAGCUAGGAUGCACCAUAUUCGGUCACUUUGUUGAUAAACAUGGUUGUUUGCUCUCCAUGAAGUGGGACAAGUACUGGAGAAAAGUUAUUGGUUGUAUGCUCAUAUAUCUUGAUGUUAUUGAUAGAACUAUAUGCCAUAUGCUCAUAUAGCAAUUGCAAUAACUAUCUAAUCUUCACAUAAAGUGUGAUCAUUGCUCAUAUGCUCAUAAAGUUGUUGGUUAUAUGUCAUAUGCUCAUAUAGAAAUAGCAAUAACUUUCUAAUAGAAAAGUUUCUUGAUGUUAGAAUGGAAGCUUCUAGCUGGAAUUAUAUUUUCCUAUUGGAGGAAUGUGAAGAUUAGAAAGUUAUUGCUAUUGCCGAUGCUUUUUUUUAAUAAUCUAAUCUGAUAUAAUCCAGAAAGGUUACUAAUUUUGAGUCUGAUGAAAUCAUAUUGUGAUUAAAUGGAAUACUUGUUGUGCGGCAAACUGUUAGACUUUUUUCCCCUGGUUUGCAGACAGCUACCACUGCUGCAGGGGCUGAGUUGCCUCCUACACAUCCUCUCCGACUGGGUUUGGCAUUGAAUUUCUCAG